UACGAAGGGGGCUAGCGUUGCUCGGAAUCACUGGGCGUAAAGCGCACGUAGGCGGCAUUGCAAGUCGGAUGUGAAAUCCCUCGGCUUAACCAAGGAAGUGCAUCCGAAACUGCAGUGCUUGAGUACUUAAGAGGAUCGCGGAAUUCCCGGUGUAGAGGUGAAAUUCGUAGAUAUCGGGAGGAACACCAGUGGCGAAGGCGGCGAUCUGGGAAGAUACUGACGCUGAGGUGCGAAAGCGUGGGGAGCAAACAGG
Molecule: ribosomal RNA, 253 nt
Filed under: uncultured bacterium
Lineage: Bacteria
Description: partial 16S ribosomal RNA
Rfam family: Bacterial small subunit ribosomal RNA
Source: RNAcentral